Molecule: small nuclear RNA, 119 nt
Filed under: Crocodylus porosus (Australian saltwater crocodile)
Lineage: Eukaryota; Metazoa; Chordata; Crocodylia; Crocodylidae
Description: U2 spliceosomal RNA (ENSCPRG00005018303.1)
Rfam family: U2 spliceosomal RNA
About the family: U2 is a small nuclear RNA (snRNA) component of the spliceosome (involved in pre-mRNA splicing). Complementary binding between U2 snRNA (in an area lying towards the 5' end but 3' to hairpin I) and the branchpoint sequence (BPS) of the intron results the bulging out of an unpaired adenosine, on the BPS, which initiates a nucleophilic attack at the intronic 5' splice site, thus starting the first of two transesterification reactions that mediate splicing.
Source: RNAcentral
CGUCCUCCAUAGGAGGUCUAUAUUGAGCAGAUUCUUUUUGGUAUUGGGUGGUGGAACCGGAGCGUGCUCCAUCCACUCCAUGCAUUGACCUGGUAUUGCAGUGCUUCCAGGACCGGUGC